AUACGUAGGGGGCGAGCGUUGUCCGGAAUGAUUGGGCGUAAAGGGCGUGUAGGCGGCGGUGUAAGUCUGGAGUGAAAGUCCCGCAUUCAAUGUGGGAAUUGCUUUGGAUACUGCAGUGCUAGAGUGCGGAAGAGGUAAGUGGAAUUCCCAGUGUAGCGGUGAAAUGCGUAGAGAUUGGGAGGAACACCAGUGGCGAAGGCGACUUACUGGGCCGUAACUGACGCUGAGGCGCGAAAGUGUGGGGAGCAAACAGGAUUAGAUACCCUGGUAGUCCACACUGUAAACGAUGAAUACUAGGUGUGCGGGGACUGACCCCCUGCGUGCCGGCGUUAACACAAUAAGUAUUCCACCUGGGGAGUACGAUCGCAAGGUUGAAACUUAAAGGAAUUGACGGGG
Molecule: ribosomal RNA, 396 nt
Filed under: uncultured bacterium
Lineage: Bacteria
Description: partial 16S ribosomal RNA
Rfam family: Bacterial small subunit ribosomal RNA
Source: RNAcentral